GGUAGAGCACUGUUUCGGCUAGGGGGCCAUCCCGGCUUACCAACCCGAUGCAAACUGCGAAUACCGGAGAAUGUUAUCACGGGAGACACACGGCGGGUGCUAACGUCCGUCGUGAAGAGGGAAACAACCCAGACCGCCAGCUAAGGUCCCAAAGUCAUGGUUAAGUGGGAAACGAUGUGGGAAGGCCCAGACAGCCAGGAUGUUGGCUUAGAAGCAGCCAUCAUUUAAAGAAAGCGUAAUAGCUCACUGGUCGAGUCGGCCUGCGCGGAAGAUGUAACGGGGCUAAACCAUGCACCGAAGCUGCGGCAGCGACGCUGAUGCGUUGUUGGGUAGGGGAGCGUUCUGUAAGCCUGUGAAGGUGGCCUGUGAGGGUUGCUGGAGGUAUCAGAAGUGCGAAUGCUGACAUAAGUAACGAUAAAGCGGGUGAAAAGCCCGCUCGCCGGAAGACCAAGGGUUCCUGUCCAACGUUAAUCGGGGCAGGGUGAGUCGACCCCUAAGGCGAGGCCGAAAGGCGUAGUCGAUGGGAAACGGGUUAAUAUUCCCGUACUUGGUGUUACUGCGAAGGGGGGACGGAGAAGGCUAUGUUGGCCGGGCGACGGUUGUCCCGGUUUAAGCGUGUAGGCUGGUUUUCCAGGCAAAUCCGGAAAAUCAAGGCUGAGGCGUGACGACGAGGCACUACGGUGCUGAAGCAACAAAUGCCCUGCUUCCAGGAAAAGCCUCUAAGCAUCAGGUAACAUCAAAUCGUACCCCAAACCGACACAGGUGGUCAGGUAGAGAAUACCAAGGCGCUUGAGAGAACUCGGGUGAAGGAACUAGGCAAAAUGGUGCCGUAACUUCGGGAGAAGGCACGCUGACACGUAGGUGAAGUGAUUUACUCAUGGAGCUGAAGUCAGUCGAAGAUACCAGCUGGCUGCAACUGUUUAUUAAAAACACAGCACUGUGCAAACACGAAAGUGGACGUAUACGGUGUGACGCCUGCCCGGUGCCGGAAGGUUAAUUGAUGGGGUCAGCGCAAGCGAAGCUCCUGAUCGAAGCCCCGGUAAACGGCGGCCGUAACUAUAACGGUCCUAAGGUAGCGAAAUUCCUUGUCGGGUAAGUUCCGACCUGCACGAAUGGCGUAAUGAUGGCCAGGCUGUCUCCACCCGAGACUCAGUGAAAUUGAACUCGCUGUGAAGAUGCAGUGUACCCGCGGCAAGACGGAAAGACCCCGUGAACCUUUACUAUAGCUUGACACUGAACAUUGAGCCUUGAUGUGUAGGAUAGGUGGGAGGCUUUGAAGUGUGGACGCCAGUCUGCAUGGAGCCGGCCUUGAAAUACCACCCUUUAAUGUUUGAUGUUCUAACGUGGACCCGUGAUCCGGGUUGCGGACAGUGUCUGGUGGGUAGUUUGACUGGGGCGGUCUCCUCCUAAAGAGUAACGGAGGAGCACGAAGGUUGGCUAAUCCUGGUCGGACAUCAGGAGGUUAGUGCAAUGGCAUAAGCCAGCUUGACUGCGAGCGUGACGGCGCGAGCAGGUGCGAAAGCAGGUCAUAGUGAUCCGGUGGUUCUGAAUGGAAGGGCCAUCGCUCAACGGAUAAAAGGUACUCCGGGGAUAACAGGCUGAUACCGCCCAAGAGUUCAUAUCGACGGCGGUGUUUGGCACCUCGAUGUCGGCUCAUCACAUCCUGGGGCUGAAGUAGGUCCCAAGGGUAUGGCUGUUCGCCAUUUAAAGUGGUACGCGAGCUGGGUUUAGAACGUCGUGAGACAGUUCGGUCCCUAUCUGCCGUGGGCGCUGGAGAACUGAGGGGGGCUGCUCCUAGUACGAGAGGACCGGAGUGGACGCAUCACUGGUGUUCGGGUUGUCAUGCCAAUGGCACUGCCCGGUAGCUAAAUGCGGAAGAGAUAAGUGCUGAAAGCAUCUAAGCACGAAACUUGCCCCGAGAUGAGUUCUCCCUGAGACUUUAGGUCUCCUGAAGGAACGUUGAAGACGACGACGUUGAUAGGCCGGGUGUGUAAGCGCAGCGAUGCGUUGAGCUAACCGGUACUAAUGAACCGUGAGGCUUAACCUUACA
This 2050-nucleotide ribosomal RNA is filed under the name Salmonella enterica subsp. enterica serovar Javiana. RNAcentral's name for it is "partial 23S ribosomal RNA". It matches the Rfam family "Bacterial large subunit ribosomal RNA", at positions 901 to 2925 of the family's 2925-position model. Lineage: Bacteria; Pseudomonadati; Pseudomonadota; Gammaproteobacteria; Enterobacterales; Enterobacteriaceae. The record is from RNAcentral.